AGAGUUUGAUCCUGGCUCAGGACGAACGCUGGCGGCGUGCCUAACACAUGCAAGUCGAGCGAUGAAGCCCUUCCGGGUGGAUUAGCGGCGGACGGGUGAGUAACACGUGGGUAACCUGCCUUAUAGAGGGGGAUAGCCUUCCGAAAGGAAGAUCAAUACCGCAUAAAAUGUUUGUAUCGCAUGGUACGAACAUCAAAGGAGUAAUCCGCUAUUGGAUGGACCCGCGGCGCAUUAGCUAGUUGGUGAGGUAAAGGCCCACCAAGGCGACGAUGCGUAGCCGACCUGAGAGGGUGAUCGGCCACAUUGGAACUGAGACACGGUCCAGACUCCUACGGGAGGCAGCAGUGGGGAAUAUUGCGCAAUGGGGGAAACCCUGACGCAGCAACGCCGCGUGAAUGAAGAAGGCCUUAGGGUUGUAAAGUUCUGUUUUCUGGGACAAUAAUGACGGUACCAUAGGAGGAAGCCACGGCUAACUACGUGCCAGCAUACGCGGUAAUACAUAGGUGGCCAGCGUUGUCCGGAUUUACUGGGCGUAAAGGAUGCGUAGGCGGAUGUUUAAGUGAGAUGUGAAAUACCCGAUCUCAACUUGUGAGCUGCAUUUCACACUGGAUAUCUGGAGUGCACGAUAGGAAAGCGGAAUUCCUAGUGUAGCGGAGAAAUGCGUAGAGAUUAGGAAGAACACCAGUGGCGAAGGCGGCUUUCUGAACUGUAACUGACGCUGAGGCAUGAAAGCGUGAGGAGCACACUCGAUUACAUACCCUGGUAGUCCACACCGUAUACGAUGAAUACUAAGUGUACGACGUAUCGACUCCUCCUGUGCCGCAGGUGACACAAUAACUAUUCCGCCUGGGGAGUACGAUCGCUGGAUUAACACUCAAAGGAAUUGACAG
RNAcentral lists this ribosomal RNA (890 nucleotides) under uncultured Bacillota bacterium. Its description in RNAcentral is "bacterial SSU rRNA". It matches the Rfam family "Bacterial small subunit ribosomal RNA", at positions 8 to 916 of the family's 1533-position model. Lineage: Bacteria; Bacillati; Bacillota. The record is from RNAcentral.